AUGUGGUGUGGGCAAGCAUUCAUCAUUCAUUUGAAACGCGCCCAUGCUUGGUACAUGUAUUCCCCUUGCUGUUGACCAAAGUUUAUUAUCUCACCCCUCAACUU
This is a non-coding RNA of Solanum tuberosum (potato), 104 nucleotides long. The record is from Rfam. Lineage: Eukaryota; Viridiplantae; Streptophyta; Magnoliopsida; Solanales; Solanaceae.